This 27-nucleotide non-coding RNA is filed under the name Mus musculus (house mouse). Lineage: Eukaryota; Metazoa; Chordata; Mammalia; Rodentia; Muridae. The record is from RNAcentral.
UGUUGUUCCACCUGUAGGAUUGCAGAU